RNAcentral lists this ribosomal RNA (405 nucleotides) under bacterium. RNAcentral describes it as "bacterial SSU rRNA". It matches the Rfam family "Bacterial small subunit ribosomal RNA", at positions 354 to 776 of the family's 1533-position model. The record is from RNAcentral.
GUGGGGAAUAUUGCACAAUGGAGGAAACUCUGAUGCAGCAACGCCGCGUGGAGGACGAAGGUUUUCGGAUUGUAAACUCCUGUCUUUUGGGACGAUAAUGACGGUACCAAAAGAGGAAGCCACGGCUAACUACGUGCCAGCAGCCGCGGUAAUACGUAGGUGGCGAGCGUUGUCCGGAAUUACUGGGCGUAAAGGGCGCGUAGGCGGCCUGUUAAGUCAGAUGUGAAACCCCCAGGCUCAACUUGGGGAUUGCAUAUGAAACUGAUGGGCUCGAGUGUCGGAGAGGAAAGCGGAAUUCCUAGUGUAGCGGUGAAAUGCGUAGAUAUUAGGAGGAACACCAGUGGCGAAGGCGGCUUUCUGGACGAUAACUGACGCUGAGGCGCGAAAGCGUGGGGAGCAAACAGG